UAGUUACUAUAGCAAAGAGGAUACACCUGUUCCCAUUCCGAACACAGAAGUUAAGCUCUUUAGCGCCGAUGGUACUUGGUGGGAAGCUGCCUGGGAGAGUAGGACAUAGCUAGGUG
Molecule: ribosomal RNA, 116 nt
Filed under: Paraclostridium sordellii
Lineage: Bacteria; Bacillati; Bacillota; Clostridia; Peptostreptococcales; Peptostreptococcaceae
Source: RNAcentral